UGCAAGUCGAGCGGCAGCGCGGGGGCAACCCUGGCGGCGAGCGGCGAACGGGUGAGUAAUGCAUCGGAACGUACCCUGGAGUGGGGGAUAACGCCGCGAAAGCGGCGCUAAUACCGCAUAUGCUCUGAGGAGGAAAGUGGGGGACCGCAAGGCCUCACGCUCUGGGAGCGGCCGAUGUCCGAUUAGCUAGUUGGUGGGGUAAAGGCUUACCAAGGCGACGAUCGGUAGCUGGUCUGAGAGGAUGAUCAGCCACACUGGGACUGAGACACGGCCCAGACUCCUACGGGAGGCAGCAGUGGGGAAUUUUGGACAAUGGGGGCAACCCUGAUCCAGCCAUGCCGCGUGAGUGAAGAAGGCCUUCGGGUUGUAAAGCUCUUUUGGUCGGGAAGAAAGUGCCUUGCCUAAUAGGUGGGGUAUUUGACGGUACCGGCAGAAUAAGCACCGGCUAACUACGUGCCAGCAGCCGCGGUAAUACGUAGGGUGCGAGCGUUAAUCGGAAUUACUGGGCGUAAAGCGUGCGCAGGCGGUUCGUUAAGUCUGAUGUGAAAGCCCCGGGCUCAACCUGGGAA
RNAcentral lists this ribosomal RNA (569 nucleotides) under uncultured bacterium. Its description in RNAcentral is "bacterial SSU rRNA". It matches the Rfam family "Bacterial small subunit ribosomal RNA", at positions 56 to 620 of the family's 1533-position model. The record is from RNAcentral.